UACGUAGGGUCCGAGCGUUGUCCGGAAUUACUGGGCGUAAAGGGUGUGUAGGCGGUUGUUUAAGUUUGGUGUGAAAUCUCCCGGCUCAACUGGGAGGGUGCGCCGAAUACUGAAUGACUUGGAGUGCGGGAGAGGAGAGUGGAAUUCCUGGUGUAGCGGUGAAAUGCGUAGAUAUCAGGAGGAACACCGGUGGUGUAGACGGCUCUCUGGACCGUAACUGACGCUGAGACACGAAAGCGUGGGUAGCAAACAGG
RNAcentral lists this ribosomal RNA (254 nucleotides) under uncultured bacterium. RNAcentral's name for it is "partial 16S ribosomal RNA". It matches the Rfam family "Bacterial small subunit ribosomal RNA", at positions 524 to 776 of the family's 1533-position model. The record is from RNAcentral.